GAUGAACGCUGGCGGCGUGCCUAAUACAUGCAAGUCGAGCGAACGGACGAGAAGCUUGCUUCUCUGAUGUUAGCGGCGGACGGGUGAGUAACACGUGGAUAACCUACCUAUAAGACUGGGAUAACUUCGGGAAACCGGAGCUAAUACCGGAUGAUAUUUUGAAUCGCAUGGUUCAAAAGUGAAAGACGGUCUUGCUGUCACUUAUAGAUGGAUCCGCGCUGCAUUAGCUAGUUGGUAAGGUAACGGCUUACCAAGGCAACGAUGCAUAGCCGACCUGGGAGGGUGAUCGGCCACACUGGAACUGAGACACGGUCCAGACUCCUACGGGAGGCAGCAGUAGGGAAUCUUCCGCAAUGGGCGAAAGCCUGACGGAGCAACGCCGCGUGAGUGAUGAAGGUCUUCGGAUCGUAAAACUCUGUUAUUAGGGAAGAACAUAUGUGUAAGUAACUGUGCACAUCUUGACGGUACCUAAUCAGAAAGCCACGGCUAACUACGUG
RNAcentral lists this ribosomal RNA (497 nucleotides) under uncultured bacterium. Its description in RNAcentral is "partial 16S ribosomal RNA". It matches the Rfam family "Bacterial small subunit ribosomal RNA", at positions 28 to 507 of the family's 1533-position model. The record is from RNAcentral.